Long non-coding RNA from Oncorhynchus tshawytscha (Chinook salmon), 722 nucleotides. NCBI's taxonomy places the organism in Eukaryota, Metazoa, Chordata, Actinopteri, Salmoniformes, Salmonidae. The record is from Ensembl.
GGAAACUAAAAAGAUAUGGGUCCUGAGAUCCUCGAAAGGUUCUACAGCUGCAACACCAAGAGCAUCCUGAACGGUUGCAUCACUGCUUGGUACGGUAAUUGCUCGGCUUCCGACCGCAAGACACUUCAGAGGGUAGUGCGACGGCCCAGUACAUCACUGGGGCAAAGCUGCCUGCCAUCCAGGACCUCUACACCAGGCGGUGCCAGAGGAAGGCCACCCCAGACAUAGACUGUUCUCUCUACUACCGCAUGGCAAGCGGUACCAGAGUGCCAAGUCUAGGACAAAAAGGCUUCUCAACUGUUUUUACCCCCAAGCCAUAAGACUCCUGAACAGCUUUUCAGGCUCCUGGUGGUUCCUGACUUGCAUCGGUACCGUUUGCUGUGCGGUAGCAGAGAGAUCAGUCUGUGGCUUGGGUGGCUGAAGAUUUUGACCAUUUCUUGGGCCUUCCUCUGACACCGCCUGGUAUAGUUUUAAUCACUUAAUAAUUCAUAAACAACCUUGAUCUCAGUAAAAACACUGUAACUAAUUGGUAGGUCUACCUUUACUUGUUACUUCUGUGACCUUUCAUUAUCCUCCCUCCUCAUGAGUGAGAGAAAUGAGAGGUUUUUGGUAAGGGAAUUACAAGGCAGAAGGAAUGUAAUCUAAACAACAAAAUAUAAGUGUUGAUAUUAGUUGGCAGAGGUCUUUACAUGAUUGUUGUUUUGAUGUAUUUCUAAUACCUU